Molecule: non-coding RNA, 1081 nt
Organism: Arachis ipaensis
Lineage: Eukaryota; Viridiplantae; Streptophyta; Magnoliopsida; Fabales; Fabaceae
Source: RefSeq, a predicted model, not a curated record
CAAGCAAAGAAGACACGUGAUUUUUCUGGUGGCUGGAGAAUGAGAAUUGCACUAGCUCGAGCUCUAUUUAUGAACCCAACCAUUCUUCUACUUGAUGAACUAACCAAUCACCUUGAUUGACUUGAGGCACAUUUUCUGCAAGAUGUCUGUGAGGUUUGCCUAGAGAAAUUGCCAAACUAUGAAGAGAAGAUCAAAAGCUUCUUUGAAGAGCAUCUUCACACCAACAAGGAGAUCCACUAUUGUGUUGCUGGAAGUGGGUCUUAGAGAGAAAGUGGCAACAGCACUUAGUGCUCCAUCUGCUACAAUACCCCAGCCUGCCCAAGCACUAAAGAAAUCCAAGAAGUAACAAUUAGCAUUUUCAAUAAACUAGAAAGAUGGUGAAUCUUUGAUGGUUCUAAAUUCUAGAAGUAUACACUCUCAUAUAUUAAUUGAAUUUGAUAAUGUAAGUUCAAUUUUCCCCUUCAUAUCUUGGUUACCAUUUUUCAACGUUUCUUCUAAUUCUCGCUUCUUUGUUGAAAGUUCUGUAUUUUUUUCUUUGCUGAUCCCCACUCUCACUCACUCUCAGCUCGGCAUCUUCAUUGUCUUUUUCAGUCUUCUGGUCUCAUUCUGCUUUCCCUCACUCCAGUUCAGCCGUUCUAGUCUUGUUCUUCUCUUGGUCGCCCUCACAGUGCGCUACCCGUCACUGGUUGUUGUCAAUUCUGAACAUUCAUUAGGACUUCCAUCUCUGCUAUCAGAUCCUAGUGCUAAGACACCAGAAGUGGCAUUGGUAUACAUAUUUGGUGAAGCUAGAAGAACCACACCAUCAAUUCUCUAUUUACCACAAUUUGAUAUUUGGUGGGAAACUGCUCAUGAACAACUCAGAGCUGAAGUUGUGCUAGCUGAAGUUGAAGAUGUACCACAUUUAGUUUUUUCACAUCGUUCAGUGUAUCUUUGAUCUAAUUCACAACAAAACACUGAUUUUUUAUAUGGAAUGUUCAUAGAGUUUAAGUGCUAUAAGUGUUUUUUUUUCUUUUCUUAUUUUAUUUACACCACGAAGCAAACUUGUACAAUGAUUAUUGAUUAAUAUAAAAGGUUAUAAAAA